RNAcentral lists this ribosomal RNA (208 nucleotides) under uncultured prokaryote. RNAcentral describes it as "partial 16S ribosomal RNA". It matches the Rfam family "Bacterial small subunit ribosomal RNA", at positions 525 to 732 of the family's 1533-position model. The record is from RNAcentral.
ACAGAGGUCUCGAGCGUUAGGCGGAAUCACUGGGCUUAAAGCGUGUGUAGGCGGAUCGUUAAGUACCUUGUGAAAUCCCACGGCUUAACCGUGGAAUUGCUUGGUAUACUGGCGGUCUUGAGGCAUCUAGGGGCGACCGGAACAAAUGGUGGAGCGGUGAAAUGCGUAGAUAUCCGGAGGAACCCCUGAGGCGAAGGCGGCGUCCUGG